Callithrix jacchus (white-tufted-ear marmoset) is the source of this 383-nucleotide long non-coding RNA. RefSeq lists it as uncharacterized. The record is from RefSeq and is a predicted model, not a curated record. NCBI's taxonomy places the organism in Eukaryota, Metazoa, Chordata, Mammalia, Primates, Cebidae.
UUCCUUCUGUGUUUGCAAAUCAGUUUUCCUAGAGAAAAGAAUUGCAUUGGCCCAGCUCACCAGUUCACACCAAGUCUCACCACAGUGAGCUGGCCCAGGGGCUUCCUUCGGAGUCUUUCUCAGUCAUUCAGGCUGGAGUACAAUGGCGCGAUCUUGGCUCACCGCAACCUCAGCCUUUCGGGUUCAAGCAAUUCUCCUGCAUCAGCCUCCCGACCAGCUGGGAUUACAGGCACCUGCCAUCAUGCCCAGGCAGUCACAUUUCUGAACACAGAUUCUGCAGGCGUCAUUCCAGUAGCAGCCCUUCUGGAGCUGAGCUUCUUGGACAUUUGAGAGUCAAUCUCCAAGACAGGUUAUAUUCAGUUUCCUAUGAAUAUUGAGGAGUA